RNAcentral lists this ribosomal RNA (461 nucleotides) under uncultured bacterium. Its description in RNAcentral is "bacterial SSU rRNA". It matches the Rfam family "Bacterial small subunit ribosomal RNA", at positions 29 to 477 of the family's 1533-position model. The record is from RNAcentral.
AACGAACGCUGGCGGCGUGGAUAAGACAUGCAAGUCGAACGAGAUUACUUCUGGUAGCAAUACCGGGAGUAAUUUAGUGGCGAACGGGUGCGUAACACGUGGGCAAUCUGCCUUAAAGUGGGGGAUAGCUCGGCGAAAGCCGAAUUAAUACCGCAUAUGAUCAGCCAGGACAUCCUGGCGAAAUCAAAGAUGGCGCAAGCUAUCGCUUUUAGAGGAGCCCGCGGCCUAUCAGCUAGUUGGUGAGGUAACGGCUCACCAAGGCAUUGACGGGUAGCUGGUCUGAGAGGACGACCAGUCACACUGGAACUGGGACACGGUCCAGACACCUACGGGUGGCAGCAGUCAGAAUUUUUCUCAAUGGGCGAAAGCCUGAAGGAGCGACGCCGCGUGGAGGAUGAAGGUCUUCGGGUUNUAAACUCCUGUCAUUUGGGAACAAGUUGCACACGUUAACUGCGUGGGCA